Molecule: long non-coding RNA, 862 nt
Filed under: Chrysemys picta bellii (western painted turtle)
Lineage: Eukaryota; Metazoa; Chordata; Testudines; Emydidae
Description: lncRNA (ENSCPBG00000025827.1)
Source: RNAcentral
GUUCAUUCUUCUCUGGGGCUAGCCUGAUACAAUUUGCUCUUCUCACAUGCUUGGGGUCGUUUCAGGUGAUGUGUUUAAGAUGAUUCAACAAUGGAUCUUGACCACAACUUCUGGGGCUGAGAAGGACAACAUACAGCUCACACAGAAAAUGAUUGAUCUCCACAAAGACCUGACCAUGUGGAUAGUGAAUUUCCUGACUUUGAUGGUACCUGACCACUCCUCCAAUAAGGGUCUCCUAGAGAAUGAGUCAGAAGCUGCUAAGGAUCAAGAGCUCAAGAGGCUAAGGGGCUAUAAAUUAGAGGAAGAAGCUAUGAACCUGGUUCCCAAACUGAGCAGAUUCUCCAGCUACGUAAUGAGGUAUUAAUAAAGCCUUGGGACCUCACCUGCCUAUGGGAUUUUCCCAUUAGAAAAAAAUCCUUAGUGUGAUGGGAAAGCCCUCUGAAGAGAGGUAUGAUCUCCCCAAAAGUGGGUGGGAUCAUAAAAAUGCAACUUUAAUGCUGUGUGGCACUCAGAAGGAAACAUUUCAAGUAUAAGUUAAUGAUAACAUUAGCUGGAACGACUUGUGUUGUUCAGCACCCACAGCUAUGUAAUCACUGAGGGCUUGACUGGCUAUGAGCAUUGUUCGGAUCUCUUAGACAUAUCAGAGAUUCACGUGGUAAACGUCAUGCUGAAGAAAAUGAUUGGGGAAUCCUGGAGGAGUUUGAGUUUAUAAAGCAAGCAGUGGGUCCCCUGGCUAUAAUGUUGGCAUCUACAGAAUCGUGCUCUAAUGUGGUGCAUGUUUUAUAAAGGAAAACAGACAAGAGCCCAAUCCUCUGGGAUUCCACUGUCUGUUGUGCCAGUAAUGCUGUGUGGUAACAGUCCC